RNAcentral lists this ribosomal RNA (648 nucleotides) under Lactiplantibacillus plantarum. RNAcentral's name for it is "bacterial SSU rRNA". It matches the Rfam family "Bacterial small subunit ribosomal RNA", at positions 59 to 672 of the family's 1533-position model. The record is from RNAcentral. Lineage: Bacteria; Bacillati; Bacillota; Bacilli; Lactobacillales; Lactobacillaceae.
AAGUCGAACGAACUCUGGUAUUGAUUGGUGCUUGCAUCAUGAUUUACAUUUGAGUGAGUGGCGAACUGGUGAGUAACACGUGGGAAACCUGCCCAGAAGCGGGGGAUAACACCUGGAAACAGAUGCUAAUACCGCAUAACAACUUGGACCGCAUGGUCCGAGUUUGAAAGAUGGCUUCGGCUAUCACUUUUGGAUGGUCCCGCGGCGUAUUAGCUAGAUGGUGGGGUAACGGCUCACCAUGGCAAUGAUACGUAGCCGACCUGAGAGGGUAAUCGGCCACAUUGGGACUGAGACACGGCCCAAACUCCUACGGGAGGCAGCAGUAGGGAAUCUUCCACAAUGGACGAAAGUCUGAUGGAGCAACGCCGCGUGAGUGAAGAAGGGUUUCGGCUCGUAAAACUCUGUUGUUAAAGAAGAACAUAUCUGAGAGUAACUGUUCAGGUAUUGACGGUAUUUAACCAGAAAGCCACGGCUAACUACGUGCCAGCAGCCGCGGUAAUACGUAGGUGGCAAGCGUUGUCCGGAUUUAUUGGGCGUAAAGCGAGCGCAGGCGGUUUUUUAAGUCUGAUGUGAAAGCCUUCGGCUCAACCGAAGAAGUGCAUCGGAAACUGGGAAACUUGAGUGCAGAAGAGGACAGUGGAACUCCUG